AUGAAGUUGCUUAUGACUGAGUGGCGGACGGGUGAGUAACGCGUGGGUAACCUGCCUUGUACUGGGGGAUAGCAGCUGGAAACGGCUGGUAAUACCGCAUAAGCGCACAAUGUUGCAUGACAUGGUGUGAAAAACUCCGGUGGUAUAAGAUGGACCCGCGUCUGAUUAGCUAGUUGGUGAGAUAACAGCCCACCAAGGCGACGAUCAGUAGCCGACCUGAGAGGGUGACCGGCCACAUUGGGACUGAGACACGGCCCAGACUCCUACGGGAGGCAGCAGUGGGGAAUAUUGCACAAUGGAGGAAACUCUGAUGCAGCGACGCCGCGUGAGUGAAGAAGUAAUUCGGUAUGUAAACUUCUAUCAGCAGGGAAGAAAAUGACGGUACCUGACUAAGAAGCCCCGGCUAACUACGUGCCAGCAGCCGCGGUAAUACGUAGGGGGCAAGCGUUAUCCGGAUUUACUGGGUGUAAAGGGAGCGUAGACGGCUGUGCAAGUCUGAAGUGAAAGGCAUGGGCUCAACCUGUGGACUGCUUUGGAAACUGUGCAGCUAGAGUGUCGGAGAGGUAAGUGGAAUUCCUAGUGUAGCGGUGAAAUGCGUAGAUAUUAGGAGGAACACCAGUGGCGAAGGCGGCUUACUGGACGAUGACUGACGUUGAGGCUCGAAAGCGUGGGGAGCAAACAGGA
Molecule: ribosomal RNA, 684 nt
Filed under: uncultured Lachnospiraceae bacterium
Lineage: Bacteria; Bacillati; Bacillota; Clostridia; Lachnospirales; Lachnospiraceae
Description: bacterial SSU rRNA
Rfam family: Bacterial small subunit ribosomal RNA
Source: RNAcentral